Molecule: ribosomal RNA, 449 nt
Filed under: uncultured bacterium
Lineage: Bacteria
Description: partial 16S ribosomal RNA
Rfam family: Bacterial small subunit ribosomal RNA
Source: RNAcentral
AACGAACGCUGGCGGCAUGCCUAACACAUGCUAGUCGAACGAAGCCUUCGGGCCUAGUGGCGCACGGGUGCGUAACGCGUGGGAAUCUGCCCUUUGGUUCGGAAUAACAGUUGGAAACGCCUGCUAAUACCGGAUGAUGACGAAAGUCUAAAGAUUUAUCGCCAGAGGAUGAGCCCGCGUAGGAUUAGCUAGCUGGUGGGGUAAAGGCGCACCAAGGCGACGAUCAUUAGCUGGUCUGAGAGGAUGAUCAGCCACACUGGGACUGAGACACGUCCCAGACUCCUAAGGGAGGCAGCGGUGGGAAAUAUUGGAUAAUGGGCGAAAACCUGUUCCUACAAUGCCGCGUGAGUGAUGAAGGCUCUAGGGUUGUAAAGCUCUUUUACACGGGAUGAUAAUGACAGUACCGGGAGAAUAAGCCCCGGCUAACUCCGUGCCAGCCGCCGCCGUAA